Molecule: ribosomal RNA, 458 nt
Filed under: uncultured bacterium
Lineage: Bacteria
Description: partial 16S ribosomal RNA
Rfam family: Bacterial small subunit ribosomal RNA
Source: RNAcentral
CCUACGGGAGGCAGCAGUGAGGAAUAUUGGUCAAUGGGCGCAGGCCUGAACCAGCCAAGUCGCGUGAGGGAUUACUGCCCUAUGGAUUGUAAACCUCUUUUGUCAGGGAGCAAAAGCCGGACGUGUCCGGCUGUUAGAGUACCCGAAGAAAAAACAUCGGCUAACUCCGUGCCAGCAUCCCCGGUAAUACGGAGGAUGCGAGCGUUAUCCUGGUUUAUUGGGUUUAAAGGGUGCGCAGGCGGAUUUUUAAGUCAGCGGUAAAAUCGUGGGGCUCAACCCCAUCCAGCCGUUGAAACUGGGGAUCUAGAGUGUGCGAGAGGUAUGCGGAAUGCGUGGUGUAGCGGUGAAAUGCAUAGAUAGCACGCAGAACCCCGAUUGCGAAGGCAGCAUACCGGUGCACAACUGACGCUCAGGCACGAAAGCGUGGGUAUCGAACAGGAUUAGAUACCCUAGUAGUC